Molecule: non-coding RNA, 177 nt
Filed under: Chloroflexi bacterium 44-23
Lineage: Bacteria; Bacillati; Chloroflexota
Description: 6S RNA
Rfam family: 6S / SsrS RNA
About the family: E. coli 6S RNA was the first non coding RNA to be sequenced, but its function was unknown until recently. It consists of 184 nucleotides that fold into an extended hairpin structure with a large single-stranded internal bulge.
Source: RNAcentral
UAUACCCUGCUAUGUACGUGAUGCAGCACAUUCGGUUUUGAGCCAACACUUCCAAAAUGGAGCCCAGAAUUUUAGGGCGUACGCGAUAGGCUUCGGCCAAGGCGAAAACUCUGAAGCGGGCACCUACCUGCGUUUGCAGGUUCAAAACUUCGCAGCACACGGCAUGGUGGGGUUUUU